This 253-nucleotide ribosomal RNA is filed under the name uncultured bacterium. Its description in RNAcentral is "partial 16S ribosomal RNA". It matches the Rfam family "Bacterial small subunit ribosomal RNA", at positions 524 to 776 of the family's 1533-position model. The record is from RNAcentral.
UACGUAGGGUGCAAGCGUUGUCCGGAAUUAUUGGGCGUAAAGAGCUCGUAGGCGGUUUGUCGCGUCGGGAGUGAAAACUCAGGGCUUAACCCUGAGCCUGCUUCCGAUACGGGCAGACUAGAGGUAUGCAGGGGAGAACGGAAUUCCUGGUGUAGCGGUGAAAUGCGCAGAUAUCAGGAGGAACACCGGUGGCGAAGGCGGUUCUCUGGGCAUUACCUGACGCUGAGGAGCGAAAGUGUGGGGAGCGAACAGG